UUGAUCCUGGCUCAGAAUCAACGCUGGCGGCGUGCCUAACACAUGCAAGUCGAACGAGAAAGUGGAGCAAUCCAUGAGUAAAGUGGCGACCGGGUGAGUUACACGUGACUAACCUACCUUCAAGUGGGGGAUAACCUCGGGAAACCGGGUCUAAUACCGCAUAACAUCCUUAGAGUGGAAACUCCGGGGAUCAAAGGAGUAAUUCGCUGGAAGAGGGGGUCGCGGCUGAUUAGCUAGUUGGCGGGGUAAUGGCCCACCAAGGCAGAGAUCGGUAGCCGGCCUGAGAGGGCGCACGGCCAUACUGGAACUGAAACACGGUCCAGACUCCUACGGGAGGCAGCAGUGGGGAUUUUUGCGCAAUGGGGGAAACCCUGACGCAGCAACGCCGCGUGGAGGAUGUAGUCCCUUGGGACGUAAACUCCUUUCGACCGGGACGAUAAUGACGGUACUGGUGGAAGAAGCCCCGGCUAACUUCGUGCCAGCAGCCGCGGUAAUAAGGU
RNAcentral lists this ribosomal RNA (500 nucleotides) under uncultured Acidobacteriota bacterium. RNAcentral describes it as "bacterial SSU rRNA". It matches the Rfam family "Bacterial small subunit ribosomal RNA", at positions 13 to 529 of the family's 1533-position model. Lineage: Bacteria; Pseudomonadati; Acidobacteriota. The record is from RNAcentral.